GCUAAGAACACCUUUUAUUUUUCUGGCAUGUUCUUUGUACCACAAAAGUCACAUCUUACAGAGCCUACACUAGUGGUGUAGCCCCAUGUCUUGGAUCUUUGUCGCAGCAGCAUUCGUCCUUCAUCGGGUUUUUCUUGCUGAUGCAGUGGAAGCCAACACCAGUGUAGCCCCAUCCUCGACAAGCAAGCAAGCACCCAUAAGGUCUGCAAAUUGGGUACUGCCUGCAAUCUAUCUCUGCUCGUGGCGGUGGCAGUUUAUUUUCCUGGCAGCAAUUGAAGCCUACAUAUCCAACAUAAAAAACAUCCAACCAGACAGUAUCAGAGACUUCCUCCUGCAGCACUAGGAGCCUACAUAUCUAACACAUUAAUUUCAUUAAAUUUAUUGGAGCACUAACACUAACUAGUGUUUUGAUAUCAUAAAAAAAUGAAGUAUACAUAAAACUAUGUUUUACCUGAGAGGCUAGCAGCUCGGGAGGAGGGUGACGUAGCAAACAUGAUCCCAAGAACCAAGAACAAUGCAGCCCACAGGUACACAAUCCUUGUCGUAUAGAUCUUGAGUAGUGCCAUGAAGAAGAGAAUCUUGCUACUCUCCUCUUUCUGUGACAAGGAGAAGAUUUCUAAUGUUUGAAUUAUGCAUCUACUGUAAUGAUAUUUAUAGGGAAGAAGAACCAUCCUCAUUUAACAUAUGUAUCUUAAUAAGAUUUAUGUGGUCUAAUAGAUAUAUUGCACUAGUGUUUUGAUAUCUUAAACUAUCUUAUUAUACUACAAUAAAUAUACUUGAGUAUCCAAUCUAAUCCCUUACAAAAAUGUGUUGCCUUACAUUUAUGGUAGCUACUAUAUUAAUUACAUGAGCGCUCGAACAUCUUCUUAGAUGCUAUUAAAUACAUGUAUCUGGAGCAGUCCUGCAGCUGCUGUCGAUUGAGCAGUCACAAUACAAGGAAAAAAUGUCAGGCUGGACCCACUUUUUUUCAUUAAGUAUAUAUUUAGACCCAAAAAAUAGUGUUAAGGAUGUCAAUGUGUCAUCACAUCUAAACCAUCACCACUUGUACCUUGUGAUGUUUUCCCAUAAAUUCAUUAAAAAUGUGUGGACAUUCUACACAACUUAUAUUGAAAAUUUUCUGACCCUUUUAUGAAACCAAAUGUAUGUCACAAAAUAAUUAGUUCAACAUGUGAAAAUACAAUUCUUCACAAAUACCCAAGCCGGACUAUGGUUAGGGUAGGUUUUUUCUGAUGAAACACUACUAUGCUAGAACAAGCAAUCAUUGUUAGGGCCGUUGCCAGUCAUUCUGGAGCCAAUAGUGGUUUCUUAUCACUCGUGGUUCGUAAGCCUAUAGGAUCCAGAAAAUUUAUUGGAAGCGCUAUUCACCCGAAGUCACCAAUCAUUGCCAGCUCAAACCAUCAUCCAUCAGUGAAAUAUGACUGCCGGGUCAUGCGCCAAACAUGUAGUGGUAGGUGUCAAAUUACUGGUAGCUAAGGAUAUGACCCCCAACAUUGAUAUAUUACUGAUAGGUCGUUGUCACACCCAAAUUUAAGGAUAAAUUUGAGUACAAUAAUCUCAUAUGCGCCCCAGGAAUAGUCGCGCACACAAGUCGACAAAUUACAAAUAUAUCAUCACAAGUGUCUUACAUAACAUUAUUACAACACAAAUAUAUCAAAGUCUGCGACAAACGGAAAUAAAACACAUAACUAGCUAAGCUUGGUAGCUCCAAUCACAGGGACAACCGACUGGUGGAUCGCCAACCUAGAAGUCCUCAGGGAAUUCUUCAUAAUAGCUUUCAUCUGUUAUCCAUCCGGGAUUUUUGUCCAAAAAGAAAUAAAGAGACAAGCGUGAGUACAUCUCGUACUCCGCAAGCAUAACAUAGGAUUUUAUGCGGCUCAAAAAGGUCAGACACUGGCUACUGUAGUUAUCAUUUUAAUUGGUCAAUGUUUUAAUCCUAUUUUAUCAUGAAAUAUGCUUAAGUUCCCGAUUAGCCCAAAUGAGUACAUGAUAAUAUCACCGUUAACCUUCACGGCUAACACCAUCACCUUCACGGUUAAACCACAUUAAUCAUCACGAUCAAUGCGUCAGAUUUUCAUAAGUUAUUUCCCCAUAACCAUCCACACCCAACUAUUCCGUAAGGGUCCAAGGCCGCUCAUGUCCGAGAGCACGGCUAGUAUACCAGUUUGAUCAAACUCUGCGCAGAGGUGUGCACUUUUCCCGUAAGUCGUGUUACCCAUAUGCCCGGGGUUUGCAAGACCUACUAACACUGCCAAGGUGAGCGGGCAAGGAACACUAUGAAGCCUUCCAUAGGCCACGUCUAACCAGUUAGGGCCGCGAGGUUUCCUCGGCAGGCAGAUAUAGAGGACCCCCCUUUCCUAUGGCACAUUUCCAUCACGGCUAUACACAUAGGAACAGAAGCAGUUCUAUACCCAAAGUGGCAAGCCCCUCUUGCGCCCUUUCGGGUAACCUCUAACCAGCUUGAUGAGAUCCUACUACUGAGCUAAAGUUAGAGCCAUAUAACCAUCAUGGUUGCACUGUAAGUCCCGGAUAGUCGCUUACAGAGAAGUCCUUACGGAGGGUCUAGGUCAACUUCGGUCAGUUGCACCGUAGCCCUUUUCCCAUUCAUUUGCCAUCAUAUUUAUUAAAGUCAAAGUGAUAGUAAGGUCUCAAUUACUUAAAGCACUAGCAACGCUACCCACAUGCAUUCUACCCAUAGGUGUCAUAAAUAUAUAGUCAGGUGGCUAGGAUGUCCUUAGGGUUAUCAAAAUUAGACACAUGCAGAUGCGUAAUUAAUUAAGUGAAUAGGUGUACAAGGGAAACCCAUGUUAUACUUGCCUUCAGUGAAGGGUAGCUGCUGCUGGUCCUGCUGCUCCUCGGAGUAAAACGGAUCACCCACGGACACGUCACCGUCUGGGCUCGAUCGGUACCACACAACAACACGCAUUCCAAGUUCAAUCAUACAAGCAAACAAUCCUUUAGUUAAAACAGUACACCAACAGAUCAAAAAUGAAAUAAAAUAUUUAAAGACAGAACCUAUGUUUCGCUACGAACACAUAGAUACGAAGAUCACGAAAAUCGGAGCUAAAACGAUCAAGUUACAAAUUUUCGGCGAUUUCCUAUAGGCAUUUAAUUAAUUAAACCUAACCCUGAAAUUAAAAAGUUGCAAACUACAGAAACAAUAGUACUAACAUAUAGAGAAUUUAAUUACGAAUCCAACGCAAUUCGAACGGGUCAAAUCGGAGCUAAAACAAAUAUUUUAUGGCCAAAACAAUGCAGUGGCAAUCUUGUAAAUAAAACAUGAUUUAAUCGGAUUUAAAUAAAUUCAGAAAUUCUAGAAUUUCUCCUGGCCGAGGACUGCGGGUUGAUUAGGGAGAAGUAUAGGGUUUCUUUAGCAAAAUUCACCCACGAAGGGGUAUGGAGCAUCCUGGGCCACUGGAUCGCGAACGGACGGCUAGGAUUAGAAGGGGGAAAGGGGAAGGAGGAGGCCCGCGGCCGGAACAGUGCAAGGGCGGCGGUGCGCCAUGGCCGGCGAGCCAAAACUCGCCGGAGUUGGCCGCGACAGGGCUACGGGGCUCGGUUUUCAAAUUCGACAGCACAGGGAGGUAGAGGAGGGCAAGGGGAGCUUGAUUCCAACCCUUGCGCGUCCGAGGAGGGGCUCGCGCACCACGGUCCGCGGCGGCGCCACUGCCGACCCGCCGGAGCACGCGGUUACAGCGCUAUAACGCAUCAAAACGCGAAGGGAGAAGUGCGGGAGAGAGCGGGGGCGCUGGCGAGCUCACCGGGGAGGAAGAAGGGGACGGGGACGGACCAAAUUCGCGGGGACGCCGUGCAGCGGUUCACGACGGCUUCGACGAUUUCUCUGAGCGCACCAGGAGUGGAAACGGAGGCGAGGAGAGGGGGGAAAUGGGGAGGGGAAGGUGCUCGGGCUCGCGGGCUCUCCACUACUUGUUGAGACACGAGGAAGAGGAGGGAGGUCGUGGGGAAGCGGGGGGCGCGGCUCGGCAGUUCCUGGGAGAGAGAGAAGCGGGGCAGACGGUUGGGGGGAAGAGGGAGCUGACAGGCGGGCCCGCUGUAACAUCCCCGAUGUUACGGUUACUAAAAUUUGGAUCAUGUCAUAAUGAGCAUUGCAUUGCAUACCUGUUAAGCACAUUAUUAUGCAUCCACCUAAAACAAGUUUAUUUUGAAUGGUUGUGCUUAGGGAAUUAAAGUGUGUAUAUGUGGUGUAUGGAUGCUUGUGUUGGGUGCUAAAACCCAAGGGUGAACGAUUCCCGAAAGAUUAGGGGGGAAACCCUGAUUUUUGAACCCUAGAGUUGCCCCCUUUUGUGCAAUUCAAAAACCAAGCAAAAUUUGAGGUUGAGUUCAAAAGCAAAGUUGUAGAUCUUGUCAAGGUGUACAACUUUGGUGUUUUGAGUUUUUGAAGUUUCAUUAUAGAAUUCAAAGUAAUUUUGAAAAUACAGAUUUCCAGAAAGUGUCCCCUUUUCCAAUUUGAACCUCCAAUUCAAAAUCUAUUUGGAAUUUUGAAACGUGACCAACAUGAAAGUUGUAGAGCUCAAAAAGUUGAACAACUUUCAUGUUGGGAGUUUUUCAAGUUGUUUGGAAAAAUCAAAAGUAAUUUUGGAAAUCCUGAUCUGCCCGAAUUAAAAAAUUUGAAUUUUCCCAAAUUGGAUUUUGAACUUCAAACUGUUUGGUCAAAUUCACCAUGUUCCACUCAAAAUUAGCUCUGGUCACCAAAAUAUGAUUUGUAGCUUAUAAAAUUUUGCACAACUUUUAUUUUGGUGGCAAUUUGGCUUUAGUUCAAAUUUUGGUCGAAUUUCACAAAAAACAGAGAAGAGGGGAUAAGGGCCAGCUACAGUGAUCCGAUGAGGAUCACCGGCCCCUGUCCAACGCAGCCGCCGCGCAGGCAGCGCCGCGCGCAUGCGUGCAAGCACGCAGCUGCUUGCUGCCAGUGCCGCCAGGUGACGUGGACGCCCCGGGCUCGCUUCCUCCUCCACUUGAGCCCCAGCGUGGACGACGCCGCCCGAUUUCUCUGCCCACGACCAAGGAACCCCGACGGCUCUCUCUUUCAAAUUCACCGUGCUCAGUCCCUCUCGAGCCAAAUUGAGCACUCCACCGCGUUCGCCACCUCCUUGCGAACCCAGUGCACCCUGAAAGGUCCUUGUUUGGUUUUGGUAAUUGAGUGACAACUUAGGUGGACUAAUAGUGUUUAUAUGAGAUACACAGGAGAUUAGUCCACAGGUGAUUAUGUGAUGAUGGAGGAGCUCAUUGCAUAUGAGACAUGACAUGGAGUCAUGUGACCAAGGUGGAGAAGAUCAAGAUGAGGCUUGGCUCGAUGGACCGGUUGCAAGAGUGAAGGGCAAGUCGGAGGCUUUGAAGCGAGGGACCGCGUGUGACGGUGAAGCUUGAGCAAGACUUGGCGCUGAUGGACCGAGGCAACGGUGAAGAGCAAGUGAGGUCAAGAUCGAUGAACCAAUACGGUCACAUGAUGAUAUGAAGUGGAUCAUAUCAUUUGGUGAUUGGUUGGUGCAUGUGUUGCAUCAACAUUGGAGGAGAUGGAAUGGAAAGCGCAAGGCAAAGGUAUAACCUAGGGCAUUUCCAUUUCACCGGUCAUAGGUGUGUAGAGAAGUUUAUGACCGAAUUUAGGAUAGAUGGCCGUACUAUCAAGAGGGGCAAACUUGUUUGCAUAUCGGUCAUCUAGUGCCACUUGAGCGAUCUAACUUUGCAUACGUGUUAGGAUCGAGUGGCGUGGCAAGUUUGAGAGGCUAACUCCUUUGGGAAAAUGUUUGUGAAAAUGCUAACACACUUGCACAUGGUGGUGUACACUUGGUGGUGUUGGCACAUUUACAAAGGAGGUGGAGUUCCUAGGGUUGAGAGGCGUGUGGGUUCCUCUCUCCCAUUCGGCGCUUUUCGAGAAAAUGAAGUGCAUAUUUUCUAUUGCGCCGGUGGGAAAUUUGGAGAAGUCGCGGGAGUGUUUCUCAGUUGGAAACACUCACCGGACGCUCUGUGCGGAGGCACCGGACGCUGGCCUUUAGCGUCCGGUGUGCUGUCGGGUGUAGCAGAGUGCACCGGACGCACCGGAGUGAGUCCGGUGCUCAGCGUCCGGUGUGCAGGCGGUUUGGCGACCCUCUCUGCGCAUGAGUCCGGUGAGCACCGGACGCUCAGGGUGCGUCCGGUGGCUUGCGUCCGGUGACCGUGCGAGUUUGCGGAGCUCUCUGCGCACGAGUCCGGUGUGCACCGGACGCGUCCGGUGUGGACUAGUUGAGCGUCCAGUGGUGCUGUGUAGGCACGCGUGCGGAGUAGCCGUUAGCGGCAACGGUCGAGUUCAAACGGCUAGUGACACGUGGCUAACGCCUGAGCACCAGACGCUGGGGGUUGAGCGUCCGGUGGCUCCCUGUGAGCGUCCGGUGCCCACGUGUUUUGCCCAGUGAAGGGGCAACGGCUAGUUUAGCCCUUGGGGCUAUAAAUAGAAGUGGUGGCCGGCCUUGGCUGGUGCUGAGCACCCUUGGGACUUAGUGUCCAUGCUUGGGGAGUGCUAGGAAAGCCUCUAACUCACUUGUGCUUGCAAGAGUGUGAAUCAAUAGCGAUUGAGUGAUUCUAGUGCGUUGCAUUGAGAGAUUGCAUCGAGUGGCACUAGGUGUUCGUGUUGCAAGCCGGUGGUGCUUGUUACUCUUGGAGGUUGCCACCUCCUAGACGUCUUGGUCGCUUGUGACUCCGUCGAAGCACGCAAGGAGAUUGUGCGGUGCUCCGGAGAAGAGAUUAUGAGGGGUACGGUGCUCACUCCGCGGGGAUCGCGAAGAGCAACUCUAGUUGAGCGAGACGUGAAGAGCAACAAGUGGUCCGGCCGGGUCAAGUGCUAGAGCUUGUGGUAAGCACACCACGUGGGAGAGUGUGACUUGCGGGUCACCACUAGCAAGAGGACCGGCGGCAACCUUGGAGCUUGUCUCAACGGGGACGUAGCUUGGUGGCAACCAAGUGAACCUCGGGAGAAAAUCAUCGUGUCAACUUUGUUCUUCCCGUUGGUUUGAAAGUCUCUAACACAAGCUUGUAUUUACAUUCAUAUAUUUGUGCUUGUGUAGUUGCUCUUGUAUUUAGUUAGCUUGUGUAGCUUGCUAGUUACCUUCUUGCUUGUGUAGCUAGAAGUAGUUCCCUUGCGUGACUAAUUUGGUUUGUGUAACCUUGUUAGUCACAUUGCUUAGUUUGUGUAGCUAAGUAAGUUGUGCUCUCUAAUUUGGCAUUAGUUGCCUUGUUAUUGAGCUUGCUAGUGAGCUUAGGCUUUGUGCGCUUUGCCUCACUAGUUUGUGUAGGAGCUCCCCCGGUUUGCAAAGUACUAGUUGCAUAGGUUUGUGUGACCUUGCUCCUAGAAUUGUUUAGGUGAGCUCUUGCUAAGGUGGCACCUUGCUUGCUUGUUUAGGAUCUUUUCAAGGUGCUAGAGAACUUAGAUAGAGGGGUGUAGUCUUGGCUAGACCGAUAGUUUUAAUUCCGCAUUUGUUUCGGUUAGCCGGCGUAGUAAAUUUUAGAAAGGACUAUUCACCCCCCCUCUAGUCCGCCAUCUCGACCCUUCGCACCCCCGAGCUCACUCCCUAAUCCACUCAAUCGCCGGAGCCCCUCUGUCUUCUCCAACUCCGGCCGGAACCGCCGCCGUGGAGCUCUUCCCGUGGCCACGGUGUUCCCGUCGGUACAACGCCUCUCUAGCGGCCGUUUCAAGUUCUUUCUGUGCUCCAGUUGCUCAUGCGCUCGCUCCUUCUCCCUGGGCGUGAACAGGUCCACCGGAACGACAUCGCCAAGGCUAGAGCACCCGCCCGACGACACCGCCUCCGUCGCCAGCGACCUUGGCUACUCCCGCGAGCCUUGCAACAUGAGCACCACCCUCUCUAACCUGCGUGGAAGCUCUCUAGCUCGUCCGUUUGCGCUCUACCGAGCUCUAGUGGCCGGUCUACGGGUGACCGCCAUGGCCGCCCGCCUCUUGCGUGGCCGAGGUGGAAGGGAAAGGGUAGAACGAGAGUAGAGGAUGUCGACAGAGUCGCAAAGGCGAGGCGAAGCCGAUGCGCACACGCGCGCGGGCCGGGAACCACGCUAGCGGCGGCCAGAACCGUGGCCGAGCCGCCGUGCGCGGUAGAGACGAAGCUGACAAGUGGGGUCUUCCUGUCAGCGUCUCGCAGAGAGGAGAGGAGGGGGAGCCUGACGAGCGGGACCCGCCCGUCAGCGACCGCCUGAGGAAGGAGGAGGCGCGCGCAGCGCCCGUGUGGGCCGAGCGGGAGCGGGCCGGCCUGCAGGCCGAUUUCCCGGCUGCUCGCUGCGCAGCAGUUUUUCUUUUUCUUUUUGUGCAGUUUUUGCUUUAAGUUUGAUUUGGUGUAGAAAAUUGUAGAUUAAUUCAAAAAUCAUGGAAAUUUUUGUAUAGCUUCCAUAAAAUGAAUAGAACAUAGGAAAAAUAUUAGGUUCUGUUUUCUAAUAGUUUGCAAGUGUAUAAAAAUUACCUCUUUUAUUUAAGGAAUAAAACUUCUAGGAAUUUUAAUAAUUUAUUGAUAUGUCCAAAAAUCACCAAAAUUUGGGGAAUGUCUCUGAGGAUUAUUCCCUGGCUCCACACAAAAUUUGGUGGCAUUGGGAUAAUGUUUGAAUAAAAUAUUAUUAAACCCCUAUUUAGUACUUAAAUAAUAAUUCUAAAAUAAUUAGAUGAUAAUUAGUUAAAUCCUCCUAAUUGGGGUUGAGUGAUUUUGAAAUUGUGUGGUGACCUAAGGUCAUUAACCCUAACGACCUUUGGCAUUUGGUUAUUGUUUGGCACUAAUGCUUAAUUACUGUCAUUAAUAAUUAAUUAAGAAUUAAUUAAGGUAAAUAGGAUUAAUAAGUAAUUAAUUUGGGAUAAUUAUGAAUUAAGAGGAGUCUUAGUUUACAGAUGCAACCUCUUGGGUAAAGACACUGAGUUGAUAAGCAACUUUAAUUACUGUUUAGUCUAUGUUGCACCAAGAAGGCAAGUUGUACUCGACUUAGUCCUUCUUGCAUAUUUGUCAUACGCAUAUCAUGAGCAUUCAUCCUUUUUGCGUAUAGUGCCCGUGACCGAAGGAGCGACCGUUGAACCGAACCCCGAGGUCGGUGCUCCGUUCGAGGAAGUCGGAUCCGAGACUUGGGAAGUCUCCGAGGGUCCCUCUCUGCCCUGCAACCAAGGCAAGCCCCGGAUGCAUUAACCCCUCCUUGAAUGUUUUAAAUCUUUUGUCACUUAUGAAUUGAAAAUGCUGCAUUAGGUAGUUGAGAAUUGGGUUAACCUACUUGCUGCAUUCACUACCUUGAUUUUUGUUAUCUUGUCCUUUGCACCGUUUAUUUUGAAAAUUGCGUAGAGAUGCUUAGCCCUGCUACUAGAUAGGUUUUCAAACAAAGUUUGAAGGGUUGUUGUGGAAUACACUUAUGAUCUAUGAAAUUUCAAUUUGAGACCGGUCGGUGGACUUGCUUUAAGAAUGGAGUCUUAAAGUAGUGUCUCCAACUGUGUCGGUUAAGGACCGUUCCGUUGAUGGCCUGCUGGUUGAGACUUUAUAGUACUAGCCACUUGCCCUCGGUAAGACCAAUUUUGUAAUCCCUCGACGCGAACAGCUACUCGCGCACUACGCGUGGAGCGAUGGCGAGAGUAGUGUGUACCCACCUUACGGAUCUGAGAUGACCGGGAAACAUCUAGAUCGGCUGUAGGAUGGUGGAGUACUGUGCUCUCGGGUGCCGCGAACCUGGUCAAAUUUGGGGAGAGCUUGAUUUGGGUUGACAUAUGCAAGAUUUGGUUCUACAUAUGUCGGGUGGUUAGGAACUCCAGCUGGAUUGCUAAGCGAUUCGAAUCGUCGUUGCUCCCCGAUUGGGAGACUCAAUUCCUUCGACCCUCAUCGUAGAUAAUUAUGCAACUAAGUGAUAAAAUGAGAAAGGGGAAAUUGUCUCAUGAGGUUCGGAUCCCAAUUCCCGGACUCAGAGUGACAUGAAGCUAUGGCCGUUGGAUAGAUAAUACAUUGAAUAAGGACUAGGAGCUCACAGACUUGUCUGUGAGAGGCAACUAGAUAGACUGUCCUCGAACUUCUCAGCCUCUCAAGGAGAGGAAUUCGCUGGUAAAACUUGAAAGUAAGGAUGCACUAUUAGUAAGCUUUUCAGCAAAACACUUUGGCUCCUUGCUCAGCCACUCCUUGUCUACCCUAAGCCUGCAUUCCCUAAUUUCUCCUCUUUUCCUACCGGGUAAGUCUUGUUGAGUACUCCUGUACUCAGGGUUUUAUAACCCCUGUUGCAGGUGAAGCUCAAGACCCGACUUGUUUCAGACCCUGUUGUGUGACCGUCGUCGAGGUUGACGACGAGGAAGAGUGAGCGUGACCCAUGGGCAGGGUCUGUAAAUUUGAAAUCUAUGUUCUAAAGUUUAAGUUGCUCCGCUGGACCAGGCUUGUAAUAACACUUUACUAUUUGGAAGAACUCCAUUUGUAAAUUAAGUUAUGUAAUACUUCCGCUGUUUUACUCUAAAAUUUUAUUUUGAUCGUAUAUCGUCUGUGAUACUGCAACGUCUUCGCAACGAGUGAUCCUGGUGUUAAGGUGGCCACUUGCUAUCCUGUAAGGGAGAGAAGAAGUUCUCGUUAAGUGACCAUCGCUAGUGGUCAGGACGAGUUUGCUUAAUACUCCACAGGUAGCGGUGGGAUGAGCGUCCUGAGGUGUUCAUCGGACUUCUGGAGUGGGAGGAUCCCCGGCGUCACCGUCAGAGGUCCUUGGGACAAUGACAGGUGUCGGUGGGCCCAAACACUUAGGAGGUUCUGCCACACCCGGCCUGUCAGCGGGGAGAGAGAGAGGGAAGGGGGAGCCGGCCAGCUGGGCCUGGCCCAAGAGAAAGGGGGAGGGGGCGCGGGGUAGCCGGGCCCAGAAGGCCGAAAGGGGAAAAUAGGAGGGGGAAACUUCCAGUUUCCUUUUAUAUAUUUUUUAUACCAAAUUUCCAAUUGAAAUUUUGAGCAGGAAAAAGAAAACAAAUAAAACAUUUUGUUUUCCAACCAAUCAUCACAAAAGAAAUGCUCCAGCAUGAAUGCAACAAAAAUUAUUAUUCUAAACUUAUUUUAAAUUUUAAUUUCCCCAAAUUUAUUUAUUUUCCUAUAUUGAAAAUGCUCACAAAAUAAUUCAUUUAAAUUCAAUUCAUCUAUUUAAAAGAAAUAAAUUUUUGGGUGUUACAAUUCUACCCCCCUUAAAAAUAAUCUCGUCCUCGAGAUUGAGACGGUGCUUACUCAAAGAGAUACGGAUAAGAUUGUCUCAGCUCGUCUUCUCUUUCCCAAGUGGCUUCUUCUUCUUUAUAUCGGUGCCACUGCACUUUGCACAUCUUUAUAAUCCGAGUUCGGGUAACUCUUUCUGCGGUUUCUAAGAUCUUGAUUGGAUAUUCCUCAUAAGUUAGAUCUCCUUCAACUGUGAGUUCUUCCAAUGGAAUUUGUUCCUCAGGCACUCGCAAACAUUUCUUCAGUUGCGACACAUGGAACACAUCGUGAAUACCUGACAUACCCACAGGCAACUCUAACUGAUAGGCCACUUCUCCACAUCUCCUAAGAAUUCUGAACGGUCCAACGUACCUUGGUGCCAAUUUACCCUUCAUAUUAAACCUCCUGACACUUCUCAUAGGUGACACCUUCAAGUACACAUAGUCGCCUAUCUCGAAUGCCAAAUCUCUUCUAGUAUCAGCAUAACUCUUUUGUCGAGACUGGGCUACUCUCAAGUUGUCCCAUAUUUUCCGUACUUGUUCCUCAGCAUCUCUAAGAACAUCUGGUCCAAAUACUUGACUCUCACCAGUUUGAUUCCAAAACAAAGGUGUUCUACAUUUCCGCCCAUACAAUGCUCCAAACGGUGCCAUAUCGAGACUUUUCUGGUAACUAUUAUUAUAUGAAAAUUCAGCAUAUGGCAAACUAGUGUCCCAACUGGUACCAUACUGUAACGCACAUGCUCUCAACAUGUCUUCUAGAAUCUGAUUUACUCUUUCAGUCUGCCCAUCGUUUUGGGGAUGAUACGCGGAACUAAAGUUCAACUUUGUUCCCAAUGAUUCAUGUACUUUAUGCCAAAACUGUGAUGUGAACUGUGUACCCCGAUCAGACACGAUCUUCUUCGGAACUUCGUGCAGACUCACGAUUCUAUCCAUAUAUAAUUUUGCCAAGUUUGCACCAUCAUAGUUGGUCUUAACGGGCAAAAAGUGAGCAACUUUAGUGAGUCAAUCCACUAUUACCCAAAUUGAAUCAUACCCACGCUGAGUGCGGGGCAAUCCUGUGAUGAAAUCCAUACCUACUUCUUCCCAUUUCCAUUCACGCACUUGCAUUGGCUGCAACAACCCUGCAGGUCUUUGGUGCUCAGCUUUCACCCUCUGACAAGUGUCACAUAUGGCUAAAUACUCAGCCACAUCUUUCUUUAAUCCAUACCACCAAUAUUUUUCUUUAAGAUCUAGAUACAUCUUGGUGCUUCCGGGGUGAAUUGAAUAUGCAGAGUCAUGUGCUUCACGUAGGAUUGCAUCUUGGAUGGAUUUUACUUCAGGCACACAUAUCCUCUUCCCAAACCAUAGUGUACCAUUUUCAUCCAACCUGAAACCUGGUGCUUUUCCAAGCACUACAUUCUCUAAAAUUUCUUUUAAUUUCUCAUCCUCCAACUGACCAUUGCGGAUUUCUUGCUCUAGGGUGGGCUCUAACUCCAAUUCAACAGUGUUGUUCACUAAACCCAAUUUGAGAUGCUCUAUUUCAGCUAGCAACUCUGUGGGAAUGAAGGUCAAUUGCAUCCCAUUGGCAUAACUCUUUCGACUAAGUGCAUCGGCAACAAAGUUUGCCUUCCCGGGAUGGUAAUGCACUUCCAGGUUAUAAUCCUUUAUUAAUUCUAGCCAGCGGCGUUGCCUUAGGUUCAGAUCCGACUGUGUGAAAAUAUACUUCAAACUUUUGUAAUCCGUAUAAAUAUCACACUUGUGCCCAAUUAAAUAAUGCCUCCAAAUCUUUAGAGCAUGAACCACGGCAGCUAGCUCCAAAUCAUGAGUAGGAUAGUUCAGCUCAUGUUUUCUCAACUGCCUGGAUGCAUAGGCCACUACUCUUCCUUCCUGCAUAAGCACACAUCCAAGGCCUAGGCGAGAUGCAUCGCAAUAAAUAGAGAAGGUUUUACUCAAAUCUGGGAAGGUCAACACUAGAGCUGUGGUCAACCUUUUCUUUAGCUCCUCAAAAUUCUCUUGGCACUUAUCUCACAAAAUAAAUUUGGCACUCUUCUCUAGUAGGGCUGUCAUGGGCUUUGCUAACUUAGAGAAGCCUUCAAUAAAUCUUCUAUAAUACCCAGCUAAUCCCAGAAAGCUACGGAUCUCACUAGCAUUGGUUGGAGGCUUCCAAUUUAGCACAUCCUGCACUUUACUGGGGUCUACGGCUAUUCCACCGUUAGAGACCACAUGUCCCAAAAAUGAGACCUCAUCCAACCAAAACUCACACUUGCUUUUCUUGGCAUACAAUUUAUUCUCUCUAAGCUUUUGCAAGACCAGUCUCAAAUGUUCAGCAUGUUCUUCUUUUGUUUUGGAGAAGAUUAGUAUAUCAUCAAUGAAUACUACCACGAACUUAUCCAAGUACUCCAUGAACACCUUGUUCAUCAUAUACAUGAAGUAUGCAGGUGCAUUGGUCAGCCCAAAUGACAUGAUUGUAUACUCAUACAAGCCAUACCUUGUGGUAAAAGUCGUCUUAGGUAUGUCAGUUGCACAGAUUUUCAACUGGUGGUAGCCAGAUCGGAGGUCAAUUUUGGAGAACACACAUGCUCCUUUCAGUUGGUCAAAUAAGUCAUCUAUUCUAGGCAGUGGGUACUUGUUUUUAAUAGUGACUUCAUUUAAUGACCAAUAAUCCACACACAUCCUCCUAGUGCCAUCUUUCUUAUCAACAAAGAUUGCCGGUGCACCCCAUGGUGAAGAACUAGGACGAAUAAACCCUUUUUCUUGCAAUUCCUUAAGCUGUUUCUUAAGUUCCUCUAAUUCAUUUACCCCCAUUCUAUAUGGUCUUUUCGCUAUGGGUGCAGUUCCAGGUAAAAGCUCAAUAAGAAAUUCAAUGUCUCGGUCCGGUGGCAUACCUGGCAACUCGUCCGGGAACACAUCUAGGAACUCAUCCACCACCCGGUCUUCUUGAUUACCACCACUCAACUGAUUAACUGUAGUAGUCGGCUAAGGUUGUACUGCCACAUCCACACUUAUUCUGUCCCCACCUGGUGAUGUCACAACCACAGACCUCUCCUAACACUGAAUUACUGCCCCAUGCUGCUUCAUCCAAUCCAUUCCAAGUAUAAGGUCAAUUCGCAUGGUUCUUAACACAAUAGGUUUCACCUUGAAAUCUACCCCCUUAGAGAUAUACUAGUGGAGGGGCUCCAGUAAUUAGCUGGCAUGGUGCCACCCGGUGAAUUUACUAGCAUAGAAUUUUUCAGAGCACAAAGUCGGAUGCUAUGCACUCUAACAAAUGCUUGGGAGAUAAAUGAAUGUGAAGCACCAGAAUCAAACAGUACGGUAGCGGGGAUGGAGUUGAUGUUGAACGUACCCAUCAUAACCUCAGGUGCUUCCUGAGUUGUGUCAGUGGACACACGAUUUACUUUCCCAGAGAACGGAGGUCGAGCAGGCCUCUGAUUGCUGUUCUGGUUUUGCUGGGCUGGUGGAUUCUGCUUCUUGGGGCACUGGUAGGCAUAGUGUCCCACCUCUCUGCAGCGGUAACAGGCAUUGGGGUUGCCGCUGGGUGCUGCACUCUUGCCAGGAGCAUUGUUGGGCACUCCUUGGCGUGGUGCUUGGUUGCUGACCUGUUGCUGGGGGCGUUGCUAAUUCUGGUUGCCAUACUGCUGCUGGGGACGUUGUUGGUUCUGGUGGUUGUACUGAUGGUGGUACGGAGGACGCUGAGGAAACUGACCACGGUUCCACUGAUUUGGCGGUCCUUGACUGCGCUGAGGGAAUCCGUACUGAGGGUACGCACGUGGGCGAGUGUUGCUGCCCGACGGCUGCCCCUGGAGCUUUCUCUUCUUUGCAUCCAUCUCCUUGCGCUUGUUGUCGAUGACAAUAGCGCGGUUCACUAAUUCUUGAAAACAAGGGUAGGUGUUGCUCAUCAGCUGCAGCUGCAGUCCAUCAUACAAACCCUUCAGGAAGAGACGCUGCUUGUCAGAGUCCCUGGCCACCUCAUAUGGAGCAUAUCGUGACAGUUGAGCAAACUUGUCACGAUACUCACUGACUGACAUCGAUCCCUGCUUGAGAGACCGGAACUCUUCUGCUUUCAAUUCUAUCAGGCCCUUUGGAAUAUGAUGGGACCUGAACCCUUCAGUAAACUCCUUCCAGGUGACUGGCGGAGCAUUGUUCGGGCAUCCAUAUUGAUAGGACUCCCACCACUCCUGUGCAGGUCCUUGCAGUUGGCCUGAUGCGUACAACACUUUCUCCAGGUCGCUGCAUUGGGCUAUGUUCAACUGCUUUUCGACUGCUUUUAACCAGUCGUCUGCCUCCAGUGGAUCAGAGGCAUGGGUGAACACCAGGGGACGUCCCUUCAAGAACUCCCCACGCUUGUCAUGGACUUGAACCGGCGGUGGUGCUGCUACUGGUUCAUUGUCCAUACGGUUCAUCAUGGCUUGCAUCAGAUUAGCUUGCAUACCCAUGAGCUGCUCAAUAGUCAUCGGCGGCGGCAGUGGUGGUGGAUUCUCAGGUACACCACGUCCACGGCCACGACCACGGCCACGGCCACGUCCACGACCAGCGACUGCUCCUUCGGCGUCCAUCUGCUUCCAACAAAGAUUCACGGCUUUUAGUGAUCUUCCAAAAUAAUUAUUCAUCGCUUAUAAUGAAUAAAAACAAGACUAGCAGUUUUCUGGACAAGUUUCAAACUCAGCAGGUCAGUAAUCCAUGGUUAUCUCAGAAUCUAGAGGUCCAAUAGGAACAUGAUAUACAUCGUUGGAAAGGUUAAGAAAUUCUCUACAAACUUUAUUUAGACCACAUUUACUGGUUCCAACCGUAAAAUAAUCAAAAUUGUGGUUUAUCAGGUUCUGCUCUGGUUCUCAGUCUGCGCAGGUACAGCAGAUUAAAUCAGACAUAUCUCAUAGACCCGAACAGAUAAUGAGGUGAUUCCAGUUGGAAAUAAAAAAUAUACCAGUCUAGUUUUCACCAUAAAAAUUUCGUAAUUUUUGACUGAACCAAUUAUGAGAUACAGAAUAAACAUCACAGACUGCUCCAGAAACAGCACGACUGAGACAGAGAAUAAGUAACCCAACCUCACAUUAAGCAACAUUUACUUCUAAGAUUAAGGUUUAGAAACAUGCGGACAGGCCCACAUGUUUCCACAAUCAAACAAAACUCCAAAUCAUAAUUGUUCAUCAUCACAAACAGCAACACACUAAAGUUCACAUGCCACACAUUACUGAAAUACUCGUGCUAACGUCUAACUAGAAGGUAUUGGGAAAUCUAGGGAGCUCUAUCCUGCAGAACGAACUUGUGGGCUUCUUCUUGUUGAUGGGUGGCUGUCCAAGCUGACCACGCAGCUCAUCCACCUGGCGCUGGAGGCGCUUCCCCGCUUGCUGUGCAACACGCAGCUCCUGCCUCAGUGCCACAUUCAUCUCAACGUGUCUCACAGUCGUAUCCAGGGUAGGGUCACCGGCAGGAGGUGCCACGACAUGCCAUGUCCUGCCAUCUGGGUCGUUGCGGGGAAGGAACCGGUACCUAUCCUCCUGCAUGGCCUCAAAACGGCGGACGUGGUAGUGAAAGUACGCAGGUUGGGCUGCAUCCUCCAUGCUCUCAUAGGCGGAAGCACGCCUAACCCUGCUCUCAUGGAUGGACUCCAUCUCAUCCGAGUUGUCGACGUUGUUCCGAGCUGUGAUGAUCACCUCGGCCUUCCAGUAGGUGUUCUCCAACGGGUGCUUGUGCUCCGAGCAAAGGUAGCGGACGGUGGCAGCAAACUCCGGGUAGUAGCUCGCCAACACACCCGUGAGCAGAGUGUGGUAGUGAGUGUCCUCGUCAGCCACCAUGAACUUGUUCCUGGAGGUCCAUCCCAUCUCCGGAACAACCUGUGGGUGCUGAGGCGUCGGUGCUGAACCCAUCGACGCGUGGGGUGCAGGCGCAGGUGGUGCAGGCGCAGGUGGAGCAGGCGCAGGUGGUGCUGGAGCGGCGGCCUGCGGAAUCGGUACUGCCACCGGAGUAGGCGCUGAAGGUGUAGGCGUAGGAGACCCCGUGUCCUUAGGCUCCUCCUCCUCGCCGCCACCAGAGGCGAUGACCUCGGGCUCAGGUAGGUGCAGGUACUGGUGCUAGUGCUGGUGCAACUAGCGAAGCACGGUCGGCGGUGAAGAGGGCACGGUACGCGGCUGCGCUGCGACGAGGUAUCUAUAAAUUUUAUUUUAAGAAUUAGAAUCAAUAUGUUUACAUAAAUAGAACAGUGGGUAAGAAUAUAUAAAAUUUUAAUAAAAUAACAAGAAAGCAAAGUAAGCAGUGAAAUAAAUAAAGCAAAAAUAAAAACCCUAAAAUCGACUGUUUCUACCUAGGUUUGUGUCCUACAGUCAGCCUUACUUUGAUACCAAUUUGUCACACCCAAAUUUAAGGAUAAAUUUGAGUACAAUAAUCUCAUGUGCUCCCCAGGAAUAGUCGCGCACACAAGUCGACAAAUUACAAAUGUAUCAUCACAAGUGUCUUACAUAACAUUAUUACAACACAAAUAUAUCAAUGUCUGCGACAAACGGAAAUAAAACACAUAACUCUAAGCUUGGUAGCUCCAAUCACAGGGACGACCGACUGGUGGAUCGCCAACCUAGAAGUCCUCAGGGAAUUCUUCAUAAUAGCUUUCAUUUGUUACCCAUCCGGGAUUUUUGUCCAAAAAGAAAUAAAGAGACAAGCGUGAGUACAUCUCGUACUCCGCAAGCAUAACAUAGGAUUUUAUGCGGCUCAAAAAGGUCAGACACUGGCUACUGGAGUUAGCAUUUUAAUUGGUCAAUGUUUUAAUCCUAUUUUAUCAUGAAAUAUGCUUAAGUUCCCGAUUAGCCCAAAUGAGUACAUGAUUUUUUUAGAUAAAGGAUAUACCAUCCGGCCUCUAUAUCCGAGGAUGUACACAGCCCAGUAUUACAGAGUUUGAUAUGAGAAAAACAAAGAGAGCCAAAGUCCUAUACAUGGACUAGGACGCUAGUUUAAACAAUAUAAAUGUUUCCAUCCUUUAUUGGAUAUCUCUAAAGCAAUUACUUCUAAUUUCUUGCUUAUCUUGGAGAGCACGUCCUUGGCUGUCUCAACAAGCUGCAGCUGAGCCCAAAAGCGUAACCAGUACGCUCCCCUAAAAAUUACCUGCAUAAUAGAGUUAGUUUUCAUUUUAUUAAAAACAUAAUCAUUGCGGCAUCUCCAGAUAGCCCAAAGCAAAGCAGCCACCCCCACCCAAAUCAGAUUUCUAAUCUUUUUAUUUUGAUUAGAUAGCCAAGUACCAAACAUGUGGCUGAUUGAUCUAGGUUGGGUCAAACUAGUAGCAAAGAAGAUAAGCCUCCAAAUCAUUUUGGUGAAGGGACAGUCUAGGAAUAAAUGUUGAAUAGUUUCAUUCCCAUUACAGCAAAUGCACUUCUGACUCCCUUUCCAAUUUUUCCUAGCAAGGUUGUCUUUGGUUAGGACGACACCCCUUUGCAGGAACCAGAGAAAAAUUUUAAUUUUUAGAGGUACCUUUAUCUUCCAUAUCUUCCUAUGCCGAAAGGGUGUAUGUGUAUCUAUAAGAUUGAGAUACAAGGAACGGACAGAGAAUAACCCAGAUCUGGUUAAACUCCAUCUGAAAUAAUCUGAACCAUCCACCAAUUCGACAUGGGAUAUCUUUGCCACUAGACUAAGCCAAUUUGUAAGUUUAUUAUCCACCAAGGCUCUCCUAAAAGAUAUGUUCAGAGGGUUCGUACUCAUCACUUUUGAGACUGUGGCGUGAGGAUCUCUCACUAUGUUGUAUAAAGAUGGAUAACUAGCUUUCAGAGACUUAGCCCCUACCCAUGUAUCUUCCCAAAACCUAGUUGCGGUUCCAUCAUUAAUAUGAAAAGAACAUUUUGCCAACACCUCAUCUUUGAUACGCAUGAGGCCUCUCCAAAAAUGGGAGUCAUUGGGCUUAGCUGUCGCCUGGGAUAGGCUUUUGGAGUUUAGGUAUUUAUUCCUUAAAAGCGUUUGCCAUAUACCUUCUGUAUUCAAUAGAUUAACUAGCCAUUUGGCUAGGAGGCACUUGUUUUGCAAUUGUAAAUUUAGGAUACCUAAUCCUCCUUGAUCCUUAGGGCGGCACAGGAUGUCCCAUUUGGCAAGGCGAUAUUUAUGUUUGUCAGAAGAUCCUUGCCAAAAGAACCUUGAUCUAUAAUGAUCUAGGUUCUUUAAGACUCCCUUGGGAAUCUCAAAGAAGGACAUCAUGAACAUCGACAGGCUACUUAGGACUGAAUUAAGCAGUACUAGUCUUCCCCCAUAAGACAGGUACUUCGCUUUCCAGCAAGAGAGUUUCUGUUUGAAACGAUCUUCUACUUUUCUCCAUUCAGAAUUAAGGAGUUGUCUAUGAUGCAUAGGGAUCCCAAGAUAUCGGAAGGGAUAUUCACCAGUAUUGCAUCCAAAGAGACUAUUAUAAAAGGAUUCCAUCUCUUUAGCAGCUCCAUAGCAGAAGACUUCGCUCUUGUGGAAAUUGAUCUUCAGCCCUGAUAGCUGUUCAAAAGCACAAAGCAACAGUUUCAAAUUCUAUGCUUGUUCGAGGUUGUGGUCAAUAAAGAUAAUGGUGUCAUCUGCAUACUGUAAUAUGGACAGACCAUCAUCUAUAAGGUGGGGUAUAACACCUCUUAUCUGACCGUCGGCUUUUGCUCUGUUAAUAAGGAGAGCUAGCAUAUCUACGACGAUGUUCAAUAAGAUUGGUGACAUUGGAUCUCCCUGUCUGAGUUCACGUUUGGCUGGAAGUAGGGCCCUAUGUCAUCAUUGACUUUGAUUCACACACUCCCACCUGUGACCAUAGUUUCUACCCAUCGACACCAUUUGGGAGAGAAACCUUUCAUACGUAGCGUUUGUUGUAAAAAAGACCACUUCACUUUGUCGUAUGCCUCUUCAAAAUCAAUUUUGAAAAUGACACCAUCUCUCAUUUUAGUGUGAAGCUCAUGGAUGGUUUCGUGUAAGAUGACGACCCCCUCCAUUAUAUUCCUGCCUGGCAUAAAGGCAGUUUGUGUUGGUCUCACUACAGUUUUGGCUACCAUAUUAAGCCUAUUUGUGCCCACUUUAGUAAAAAUUUUAAAGCUCACAUUAAGAACACAAAUUGGCCUGUAUUGCUGAAUUUUUAUGGCAUUAUUAACUUUUGGGAUUAAGGUAAUAAUACCAAAAUUCAGACUAUAUAGGUCAAGAGUCUCCCUAUGCAGCUCAGUGAAUAAGGGAAGGAGAUCAUCCUUUAUCACUUCCCAAAACACCUGAUAGAAUUCCACUGGAAAACCAUCUAGUCCUGGAGUUUUAUUAUGCUCCAUUUGGAAGACCGCAUCCCUCACUUCAGAUUCAGUGAAAGGGCUAAUGAGGAUGUCAUUUUCCUCCGGAGAUACCUGUGGAAUAUCUAGGAUUUGGUCUUCCCUAAGGGAAAGCUCUACACUCUUCGGCUGUCCAAAGAGUUCUUUAUAGUAAGUCGUAAUAUGUCUUAUGAGAUUAUAAUCUCCUAUCACAGCACCUUGAUCAUUCUCAAGUUUAUAGAUAUGCUGCUUGCGAUGUUUCCCGUUGGCCACUAAAUGAAAGAACCGAGUGUUAGCAUCCCCUUCCAAUAGGGUUUUAACUUUGGCUCUCUGGUACCAUUUCAGUUCCUCCUCUCUCAGAAGGUUAACCAAACGCUCUUUUAGAUAAUGCUUCAGAUUGAUCUCUUGAUCACAUAAAGGAGAGAUCUCAGCUUUCUUAUCAAUUAUCUCUAAAAGAGCUAACAGAGUCUUUUUUUUCUUUUUGAUAUGACCCUGCUGUGUGUUUUGCCCAUCCCCUUAGAUAUUGGCGGAGUCUACGAAUUUUAAACUGCCAUCGUUCAAGGGGAGUUGACCCAGAGCAUGGAGAUUGCCAAAUAUUUGCAACCAUAUCAUAAAAUCCAUCUCUUAUCAACCAUCCUCUCUCAAAUUUGAAAGGACUAUUGUGGGCCUGGUGGGUAUGGUCUGAAAUAUUACCAUCCCUUGGUUCUACUGUGGUUAAUGGAAACAUGAUCUCCAUUUCUGUGGUAACUAGGACUCUAUCCAACUUUUCAAAAGUUGGAUUAUCCCCUGGGCCAGUCCAUGUGUAUUGGCGGCCAGUCAUAGUAAUCUCCUUAAGAUCUAGAGAUUCAAUAAUAGCAUUAAAAAGAUCUGGCCAUUUAGGGUCAAAGUCCCCAGUACUUUUAUCUUCAGGGCAUCGCAUAAUAUUAAAAUCCCCUCCUAUGAUAUAUGGUAGGGAUUCUUUAGAGCACGUGUUAGCCAUUUCAACUAGGAAAUCACGCUUAUGCUGGAGUUGUGCUGGUCCAUAGACCGAAUAUAGCACAAACUUAAAGUCAUUUGAUUUGACUCUAAGGGUGAAUUUUACAUAGUAGUCUCCCUCCACAAUAGCUCCAAUGUCAAAGACAUUCAUGUCCACACCUAGCAAGAUAACCCCCCGACCUACCGUGGGGUGCCAUAGUGUGCCAAAGGAAAUCAUGUCCUCCACAAAGAUUUUUAAGAACAUGAUCUGGGAAUGAGUCCCGCCCUGUUUCGGAAAGCGCAAUAAAAUUAAUCUGCUCUUCCUUAACUAGUUCAGCCAAAUACCUAUGCUUAGCCAAGUCUCCCAGACCUCUGCUAUUCCAGAAGACACCCUUCAUUUUAUGAUAAUUUUGGAAGGGGUUUUUAGUUUUUUAGGAAGUUUGCCUUUCAAAGUAUUUUUGGCAUUAUUGUAUUUUUCUUCCUUGGGAGUGGAGAGAGAUCGAUUAAUUGAUCACUCUCGUCCUCCAGCAAAUUCCCAUUUAAAUUACCACAGGCGUGGCUGAGAAUUGCAUCAAUUUGGCUUUCUCGCUCAUCAUCACUCUCAAAAUUGGAGAGUCUAGAUUUGAUAGAGCAUUUUUUUCAUUAGCACAUAAAACCAACCAAUCUACCUCUAAGUUUUUAAAACACAGAACGUCUGAGGUAUCUAGGUUGAUGCCUAUCCUACCAAGGUUUGAAAUAACUUUAGGAUCUGGAAAGCUAGCGAAAGAGUUACCUGGAAAUUUGAAGUUCUUUUUCGCUGCCAUCCGUUCAACCUUGUGCAAAUCAUCCUGAAGAUUACCUAUGAAUUCAAGGUUCUUCUUUGCCGUCAGUCGUUCGGACUUCUGUAGGGUAUGGACGUCAGCCAUCGCCGCAAUCCUGGAGCUCCGUUGCAACUCUUUAAUAGGAGGAGCAGCCGCUGGGGGUUUGAAAACCCCCACUGUCGGUGAAGCCUUGGCCAGCUGCGAAGGAGAUGGAGGGGACCUGGGUAGCGACGCAGCAGCAGCCGUCGGUGAGCAGGUCGCGGGCGUUAGGGGGGCCAUGUCCGACAUCCCCCCCUCCUCCAGCGUAGCAGGCAGCGAAGGAGAUGAGGAAGCAGCGAGCGGCGUGCCGUCCUCCUGUUGCGAAGCAACUAGCAAGGGGGAAGAGGGCGCAUCCCCCUCCUUGACGGCCCCCUUUGGCAUGGUUGCUGCAGGCGUCGGGUCCACGGGUGGGGAAGCUUUGCCCUCUGUCGUCUCGGCGGCAGGGGGGAGGAUGGCGAUCGAAGCACCCACCUCCCCAUCAGACGGUGUUGUGGCCAUGGUGCCACUUGGAGCAGUGGGCGAGGGGGCACUGAACAGGAUCACGCCCCCCCCAGCUCAUCGAUGGCAGUGUCCCCAGAGGUCGGUGAAGUAGAAGGCGAGGGGGUAGAUGAUGAAGCACCCCUUCUCCCUUCUGCAGGCGCAGGGCCAUCCCACACCUCAGCAGGGCGCGGAGUCGGCUGAGGCGAGGUAGGCGCUGCGUGCUCCCCGGUCGGUGGGGAGGCUGGGGGCUCCUCAGGCGGGGUCGGUGCAGCGUGCUCCCCAGUCGGUGGAACGGCUGGGAGAGCAGGCAUACCAACUACGGCAUGGGAGCUGCUGCCUAGGGGGCUCUCGCCACCCAGCUCGUCAACGGCGUCGGUCCUGUCCUUCAGCGGUGGAUGGCCAGGGGAGGCUUCAUGGCCACUGCCAUCCCCGUCGGCUAGAGAGGCCACGGGCAGCUCCCCCCCAGCUGCUGCUUCGUUUGUUGGGGUAGAGAGCGCUUUGUCCAUUCCACAUCUUGCCGGGCUGGAAUAAUCCAGAAGUGGUGCACCCAAGGACAGUGAGUCCGUGCCAAGAAGAGGGGCGGUAGGCGCUGAAGAACCCCCCAACUCAGCGUGGUCUGUCGGCGUCUCCAGAGAUGACACAAAAAUAGAAGAAAGGUGAGUUUUGUUAUGAGAAUCAACAAGCCCAUUAUAAUCUGCCAGUUCUUCUGUUGUCGGAGGAGAAAAUUUUUUCCCCAUCUCUCCGUCAUCUUUUUCCACCAUGACCUUAAGGCUAAUCUCAUUUAUAAGCUGCGAGCAUGCCAGAUCCAGGGCCUCUUUCACCAAAGCCUCCUACUUCUGCGUUGGCACAUUAUGCAGAGGUGCUGGAGCUGCCUCCGAGGCCUUCGAAUUAUUCUGGGGAUGAUAGCAAUUGGUUCCUUCACCAUCACGGUUAAACCACAUUAAUCAUCACGAUCAAUGCGUCAGAUUUUCAUGUUAUUUCCCCAUAACCAUCCACACCCAACUAUUCCGUAAGGGUCCAAGGCCGCUCAAGUCCGAGAGCACGGCUAGUAUACCAGUUUGAUCAAACUCUGCGCAGAGGUGUGCACUUUUCCUGUAAGUCGUGUUACCCAUAUGCCCGGGGUUUGCAAGACCCACUUACACUGCCAAGGUGAGCGGGCAAGGAACACUAUGAAGCCUUCCAUAGGCCACGCCUAACCAGUUAGGGCCGUGAGGUUUCCUCAGCAGGCAGAUAUAGAGGAACCCUCUUUCCUAUCGCACAUUUCCAUCACGGCUAUACACAUAGGAACAAAAGCAGUUCUAUACCCAAAGUGGAAAGCCCCUCUUGCGCCCUUUCGGGUAACCUCUAACAAGCUAGAUGAGAUCCUACUACUGAGCUAAAGUUAGAGCCAUAUAACCAUCACGGUUGCACCUUAGCCCUUUUCCCAUUCAUUUGCCAUCAUAUUAAUUAAAGUCAGAGUGAUAGUAAGGUCUCAAUUACUUAAAGCACUAGCAACGCUACCCACAUGCAUUCUACCCAUAGAUGUCAUAAAUAUAUAGUCAGGUGGCUAGGAUGUCCUUAGGGUUAUCAAAAUUAGACACAUGCAGAUGCGUAAUUAAUUAAGUGAAUAGGUGUACAAGGGAAACCCAUGUUAUACUUGCCUUCGGUGAAGGGAAGCUGCUGCUGGUCCUGCUGCUCCUCGGAGUAAAACGGAUCACCCACGGACACGUCACCGUCUACGCUCGAUCGGUACCACACAACAACACGCAUUCCAAGUUCAAUCAUACAAGCAAAACAAUCCUUUAGUUAGAACAGUACACCAACAGAUCAAAAAUGAAAUAAAAUAUUUAAAAACAGAACCUACGUUUCGCUACGAACACACAGAUACGAAGAUCACGAAAAUCAGAGCUAAAACGAUCAAGUUACGAAUUUUCGGCGAUUUCCUAUAGGCAUUUAAUUAAUUAAACCUAAUCCUAAAAUAAAAAGUUGCAAACUACAGAAACAAUAGUACUAACAUAUAGAGAAUUUAAUUACGAAUCCAACGCAAUUCGAACGGGUCAAAUCAGAGCUAAAACGAAUAUUUUAUGGCCAAAACAAUGUAGUGGCAAUCUUGUAAAUAAAACAUGAUUUAAUCGGAUUUAAAUAAAUUCAGAAAUUCUAGAAUUUCUCCUAGCCGAGGACUGCGGGUUGAUUAGGGAGAAGUAUAGGGUUUCUUUAGCAAAAUUCACCCACGAAGGGGUAUGGAGCAUCCUGGGCCACUGGAUCGCGAACGGACGGCCAGGAUUAGAAGGGGGAAAGGGGAAGGAGGAGGCCGGCGGCUGGAACAGUGCAAGGGCGGCGGCGCGCCAUGGCCGGCAAGCCAAAACUCGCCGGAGUUGGCCGCGACAGGGCUACGGGGCUCGGUUUUCAAAUUCGACAGCACAGGGAGGUAGAGGAGGGCGAGGGGAGCUUGAUUCCAACCCUUGCGUGGCCGGGGAGGGGCUCGCGCACCACGGUCCGCGGCGGCGCCAUUGCCGACCCGCCGGAGCACGCGGUUACAGCGCUAUAACGCAUCAAAACGCGAAGGGAGAAGUGCGGGAGAGAGCGGGGGCGCUGGCGAGCUCACCGGGGAGGAAGAAGGGGACGGGGACGGACCAAAUUCGCGGGGACACCGCGCAGCAGUUCACGACGGCUUCGACGAUUUCUCUGAGCGCACCAGCAGUGGAAACGGAGGCGAGGAGAGGGGGGGAAAUGGGGAGGGGAAGGUGCUCGGGCGCGCGGGCUCUCCACUACUUGCUGAUAUGCGGGGAAGAGGAGGGAGGUCGUGGGGAAGCGGGGGGCGCGGCUCGGCAGUUCGUGGGAGAGAGCGAAGCGGGGCAGACGGUUGGGGGGAAGAGGGAGCUGACAGGCGGGCCCGGCCUGUCAGCGGGGAGAGAGAGGGAAGGGGGAGCCGGCCAGCUGGGCCUGGCCCAAGAGAAAGGGGGAGGGGGCGCGGGGUAGCCGGGCCAGAAGGCUGAAAGGGGAAAAGAGGAGGGGGAAAAUUCCAGUUUCCUUUUAUAUAUUUUUUAUACCAAAUUUCCAAUUGAAAUUUUGAGCAGGAAAAAGAAAACAAAUAAAACAUUUUGUUUUCCUACCAAUCAUCACAAAAGAAAUGCUCCAGCAUGAAUGCAACAAAAAUUAUUAUUCUAAACUUAUUUUAAAUUUUAAUUUCCCCAAUUUUAUUUAUUUUCCUAUAUUGAAAAUGCUCACAAAAUAAUUCAUUUAAAUUCAAUUCAUCUAUUUAAAAGAAAUAAAAUUUUUGGGUGUUACAGUCGUGCCACGAGCUAGAAGUGAUAUUUUCAUAUCACUAUCGGGUUUUAAGAUGACCGGAUAAUGUUCUUUAACCGUUAGAUCCACCUAUUUAUUGAUUCGCCAUUGUUGGAUCCUACUAUCGCCAUUGCUUCUGGUUAGAAAAUAAUUCUCCAAAUGCCCUGCCUGUGACGACCUCUUAUAGUCCAACAAGUCAUUGGUUCACCAUUUGUGUAUCUAUGUGUAAUAGUAAAGAGCCAAAAUUUCUGCCACUAAUUUUUUCAUCCAGCCUAAUCACUGAUUCUGUCUCGGAACCCGCUUGUGAAGUCCCACGUCUGAUUAUCAUCUUACCUGUGGACAUGUUCCCAUCUGUGUCCUUUGUCUCGCAAAGUCCCCGCAUCCAUUUUUUCUUCAAUGAAAACGUUAUCUACCGAGUGCAUUGUCGAGUUCAUUUUUUAUCUUUUUUUCCCUUUCGCUUUCUCACGUUUAGUUGUGACUUUUUUGUUUCUUCUUUUUUGUCUUUUGUUUUUUCUUAUAAAUACAGAAAAAUAAAAAAUAAUCAAUGUAUUAUUUUAAGUCUUUGAAAUUCUAAUCCUUUUCUAAUAAAUAAAUAGUUCCAUCACUAAGGCCUGUUUGGAACACGGUAAUUUUUCCCUGUUCCCGAACUCAUUCCUAUGAAAUUUCUGCAUAAUUCCUGUGAAAUCCAUGCGUUCCAAAUUGGCCCUUAAGUUGAUGGAGUUUUAAUUAUAUUAGGAAUAAAGCUUAUAAUAUUAGGAUCUGGACUAGGCGAUGGUCUAAUCAAUCUGUGGACUGAAAUCUUAAGUAGUUUGUCAUCCAAUCCAUUCUAUAUAUAUAUAUAUAUAUAUAUAUAUAAUCACAAUAAUAUCAGUACAAGCUUCCAAGCUGUCUACAUAUACCAGUACUAUUCUCAACGAGGACAGACAUGUCAAAAUCGAGAGAGGUCUUAGUCAUACUCAUCAAGGAACAGACAAAAUUAUUAUCUAAUUAUGGACUAACUAGGCUCAAAAAGUUUAUUUUGCAAAUUAUAAGCAAACUAUGCAAUUAGUUAUUUUUUAUCUAUAUGUAACGCUUUAUGUAUGUGCCACAAAAUUCGAUGUAACGGGGAAUCUUGAAAAGUUUUUAGAUUUUGGAUCGAACUAAACAGGGCCUUAGUUCAUUUUUGCAAUGUCUCGAAUCCUGAGUUCAUUUCCAAUCCCAUUCAUUUUCACCCUAAUCCGACAGCAGAACAGCAUAGUAAAUUUACCAUAUGCCUCUCUGGUGUUCUCCUCCUUCCCCCACCUAUAAAAGGAGAAGCUAGGGUCCAGCAAAGAAAGGUGUAGGGUUGUUACCCUCACUGGUAGCUGGAACCUAGAAAAUCUUGUGUUCGUUUUCCAUCUGAGAUGGUUGAGAGAUAUUCUAUCAUUUUGGACGCUGACAUGAGUUAACGAAGGUGCAUGGUGGGUACAUGCUCCUUGUUGGGCACAUCAAAGUGUCAACACAAAUGUUUAGGCUAAGAACACCUUUUAUUUUUUUGGCAUGGCAUGUUCUUUGUACCACAAAAGUCACAUCUUACAGAGCCUACACUAUUGGUGUAGCCCCAUGUCUUGGAUCUUUGUUGCAGCAGCAUUCGUCCUUCAUCGGGUUUUUCUUGCUUUUGCAGUGGGAACCAACACCAGUGUAGCCCCAUCCUCGACAAGCAAGCCAGCACCCAUAAGGUCUGCAAAUUGGGUACUGCCUGCAAUCUAUCUCUGCUCGUGGCAGUGGCAGUUUAUUUUCCUGGCAGCAAUUGAAGCCUACAUAUCCAACAUAAAUAACAUCAAACAAGACAGUAUCAGAGACUUCCUCUUGCAGCACUAGGAGCCUACAUAUCUAACACAUUAAUUUCUUUAAAUUUAUUGGAGCACUAACACUAACUAAUGUUUCGAUAUCAUAAGAAAUGAAGUAUACAUAAAAGUAUGU
Molecule: long non-coding RNA, 27833 nt
Filed under: Sorghum bicolor (sorghum)
Lineage: Eukaryota; Viridiplantae; Streptophyta; Magnoliopsida; Poales; Poaceae
Description: long non-coding RNA (SBIC_LNC009304)
Source: RNAcentral